GCCCCCGUAGCUCAGACAUUGAUCGAGCAGAGAUCGAAGGUGGAGAACUGGUUAGAGCGACGGCCUUGUAAGCCGUUGAUCCGGGGUUCGAAUCCCCGCGGGGGCU
RNAcentral lists this transfer RNA (106 nucleotides) under Aigarchaeota archaeon. RNAcentral describes it as "tRNA-Thr". It matches the Rfam family "tRNA". From Rfam's summary of the family: Transfer RNA (tRNA) molecules are approximately 80 nucleotides in length. Their secondary structure includes four short double-helical elements and three loops (D, anti-codon, and T loops). The record is from RNAcentral. Lineage: Archaea; Thermoproteati; Nitrososphaerota.